CAAUAGCAUAUAUUAACGUUGUUGCAGUUGAAAAGCUCGUAGUUGAACUUUUGGUAGGAGCGACCUGGCCUUGGGCGCAUGCCCUUGUUUGCCGUGUGUCGUAUCUGGCCAUCCUUUUCUUCGUUUUUCGGAGGGAUCUUUUACUGUGAGUAAACUGGAGUGCUCAAAACAAGACGUUUGUUUGGUACAUUAAAGCAUGGAAUAAUAAGAUAGGACCUGGUUACUAUUUUGUUGGUUUGCAUAGCUAGGUAAUGAUUAACAGGGACAGUUGGGGGUAUUCGUAUUUAAUUGUCAGAGGUGAAAUUCUUGGAUUUAUGAAAGACGAACGACUGCGAAAGCAUUUACCAAGGAUGUUUUCAUUAA
This 363-nucleotide ribosomal RNA is filed under the name uncultured eukaryote. RNAcentral's name for it is "partial 18S ribosomal RNA". It matches the Rfam family "Eukaryotic small subunit ribosomal RNA", at positions 592 to 976 of the family's 1831-position model. The record is from RNAcentral.